AUAGGAUAAGAAUACCUUGGUGUAAUAUCUGCAACCAGCUGAACCUUCAGUUACAAGCAAAAGCUUCAGAUUAGGAUGGAAAAGCCUCUUCAACACCACCUCGUCAUCAUUUGGAUCGUCGGCUCCAGUCAAGAAUGAAAUUUCAUCCUCACUUAUCUUAAUAAUAUCUGCUAGGUUCCAUACACUCAUUAUUCCACUUCGAGCAGCAUCUUCUGAAGGCCAUAAAGGCAAUCUCAGGUUUGGAUCAUACGACAGUAUGCUACCUGAUCUUUUGGCAAUGUCCAUUGCAGCAAGGUGUGUUGACCUACAAGGUUCGUCGAUCAAACUAAUUGAACCAUAAUGGAAGAUGGUGGCCUUUUUAAUAAGAUCUACAUCGAGUUCUGACUCCCGAAGAAGCAUAUCAGCACUAGGAUUA
This 415-nucleotide unclassified non-coding RNA is filed under the name Hevea brasiliensis (rubber tree). The record is from RNAcentral. Lineage: Eukaryota; Viridiplantae; Streptophyta; Magnoliopsida; Malpighiales; Euphorbiaceae.